UUGCUUAGUUGUAUAAUGCUUGUACGUAAUGUUAAAUACAAAGAAACAUCAAAAAGCCAGUCUAUCCCUCUCCCAGUGGCCCCUCUUUUGCUUCGACUCUGAAUCGAGGUUUAGUUUGAAAGUGCUGAGUUUCUCACAUCCCCUGCUCUGAGACCACAAGGCACGUUUUUGGCUUGCGUUUCCGCCUGGACAUUUCCAGGAAAUUCACCACUGCUUCUUGCCUGUAUUAGAAACGUGUGAAAGAAUUACUUUGAGAAGUCCGUGCAACAUCUAGUUUCUCCCUCUUCUUUCUCUGUCUCUCUGUCUCCUUCUCCCUCUCCCUCCCUCUCUCCCCCCCCUUUCCUCCCACCUCCCUCCCUCUUUCUUCCACCCUCCUUCUCCCCCUCCCUUCGCAGAGCCUCAGGAAAAGAAGAAUGUCGGCUUCGACUGCCAUCUUUUGGGGAUUUGGAAAAACGACUCGGUAGUGCCUUCCUCAGUCUCUUGGGGCAUACUUCUUUCCGGAUCUGGCACAAACUACCCCGCAGGGCUUAAAGACAUGCUGAUGACAGAUGAUGAAGGUGGCUAAUCAUUUAGAAAACAUGUCAAAGAAGAAUAUAUGUUAAGAAAGAGAGACGGAUGGAUAAGACCAGAAGCAUCACUGAAGUCAUCGUGAGUCUCUAAUUCUUGAUCUGGUUUGCUGCUCAACCGAAAUGAAAUUUAGUUCACGAGUCAUUUUCUUUGUUGGUUUUGUGUAGAAAACGCUUAGAAUUACCCUGAUAUCAUGAACAUUUAGGUCUGGUACUGAGAGGCACGCAAGUAUGACAGGACUAAAUUAUCAAAAUGUAUGCGCCGGGGGAAACCAAAAUAGGUUUUUGCGGUUUUCAUUAGCACAGGUCAUAUUAAUUUAAUUAACAUGAUUGAAGAUAAUAUCACUGGGUGAGGCAGCAGAUACCUAGCCUUGACCUAUUACUCACCCGUAGG
RNAcentral lists this long non-coding RNA (960 nucleotides) under Sus scrofa (pig). RNAcentral's name for it is "lncRNA (ENSSSCG00070029967.1)". Lineage: Eukaryota; Metazoa; Chordata; Mammalia; Artiodactyla; Suidae. The record is from RNAcentral.